AUGAAAAUCAGUGUAGAUGCGGGACUCUCUAACACAGGAACAGCAGCAGCUGCGGCAGUAUGUCGAGAUAGUACGGGCUUGUACUUGGGCUCGUCGUCUUUGGUGAUUUCAGGAGUUACCGAUCCUUCAGUUGUUGAAGCCAUAGCUUGCCGAGAAGCACUUGCACUUGCAGAAGACCUUUCACUUCAGGAUUUUGUGGUGGCAAGUGACUGUAAAACAGUAGUUGAUGACAUUCAAAGAGGACAGGGUGGAGCUUAUAUGACAAUCAUCAAGGAGAUUUAUAGGCGUAGAUCCUCUUUCAAUUCUUGUAACUUCUUUUUCGAAGGUAGAGCAUCAAAUACUGAUGCUCACAACCUUGCCAAACACUCUUUAUUACUUGAUCAGGGUCGCCAUCUGUGGCUUAUUCAACCCCAUGACCCUUCCUGUAUCCCGCGUAAUGCCACCUAG
This 447-nucleotide ribosomal RNA is filed under the name Triticum aestivum (bread wheat). Its description in RNAcentral is "partial small subunit ribosomal RNA". The record is from RNAcentral. Lineage: Eukaryota; Viridiplantae; Streptophyta; Magnoliopsida; Poales; Poaceae.